RNAcentral lists this ribosomal RNA (502 nucleotides) under uncultured bacterium. RNAcentral describes it as "partial 16S ribosomal RNA". It matches the Rfam family "Bacterial small subunit ribosomal RNA", at positions 28 to 523 of the family's 1533-position model. The record is from RNAcentral.
GACGAACGCUGGCGGCAUGCCUUACACAUGCAAGUCGAACGGCAGCACGGGUGCUUGCACCUGGUGGCGAGUGGCGAACGGGUGAGUAAUACAUCGGAACGUACCUUAUCGUGGGGGAUAACGCAGCGAAAGUUGCGCUAAUAACGCAUACGCCCGGAGGGGGAAAGCGGGGGACCGUAAGGCCUCGCGCGAUUGGAGCGGCGGAUGUCUGAUUAGCUUGUUGGUUAGGUAAAAGCUCACCAAGGCGAUGAUCAGUAGCUGGUCUGAGAGGACGAUCAGCCACACUGGGACUGAGACACGGCCCAGACUCCUACGGGAGGCAGCAGUGGGGAAUUAUGGACAAUGGGGGCAACCCUGAUCCAGCAAUGCCGCGUGAGUGAAGAAGGCCUUCGGGUUGUAAAGCUCUUUCAGCGGGGAAGAAAGAACCAAAAUUAAUACUUUUGGGUGUUGACGUUACCCGCAGAAGAAGCACUGGCUAACUCUGUGCCAGCCGCCGCUGUAA